Molecule: ribosomal RNA, 494 nt
Filed under: uncultured bacterium
Lineage: Bacteria
Description: partial 16S ribosomal RNA
Rfam family: Bacterial small subunit ribosomal RNA
Source: RNAcentral
GACGAACGCUGGCGGCGUGCUUAACACAUGCAAGUCGAACGGAAAGGCCUGCUUUCCCUUGUGGAUUGCGGGUGCUCGAGUGGCGAACGGGUGAGUAACACGUGAGUGAUCUGCCCCCAACUUGGGUAUAAGCCUGGGAAACUGGGUCUAAUUCCCGAUAGGACUGCAGGGUGGUGCCUGUGGUGGAAAACGAUUUUCUAGUGGUUGGGGAUGAGCUCGCGGCCUAUCAGCUUGUUGGUGGGGUAAUGGCCUACCAAGGCGGCGACGGGUAGCCGGCCUGAGAGGGUGGACGGCCACAUUGGGACUGAGAUACGGCCCAGACUCCUACGGGGGGCAGCAGUGGGGAAUAUUGCACAAUGGGCGGAAGCCUGAUGCAGCGACGCCGCGUGGGGGAUGACGGCCUUCGGGUUGUAAACUCCUUUCGACCGCGAGGAAGCCACCUGGUUGGAAGGGUGGUGACGGUAGUGGUAGAAGAAGCACCGGCUAACUACGUG